GAUGAACGCUGGCGGCGUGCUUAACACAUGCAAGUCGAACGGUGAAGCAGGAGCUUGCUCUUGUGGAUCAGUGGCGAACGGGUGAGUAACACGUGAGCAACCUGCCCCUGACUCUGGGAUAAGCGCUGGAAACGGCGUCUAAUACUGGAUCUGUGAUGUGACCGCAUGGUCUGCAUCUGGAAAGAAUUUCGGUUGGGGAUGGGCUCGCGGCCUAUCAGCUUGUUGGUGAGGUAAUGGCUCAGCAAGGCGUCGACGGGUAGCCGGCCUGAGAGGGUGACCGGCCACACUGGGACUGAGACACGGCCCAGACUCCUACGGGAGGCAGCAGUGGGGAAUAUUGCACAAUGGGCGGAAGCCUGAUGCAGCAACGCCGCGUGAGGGAUGGCGGCCUUCGGGUUGUAAACCUCUUUUAGCAGGGAAGAAGCGAAAGUGACGGUACCUGCAGAAAAAGCACCGGCUAACUACGUGCCAGCCGCCGCCGUAA
Molecule: ribosomal RNA, 484 nt
Filed under: uncultured bacterium
Lineage: Bacteria
Description: partial 16S ribosomal RNA
Rfam family: Bacterial small subunit ribosomal RNA
Source: RNAcentral